This 478-nucleotide ribosomal RNA is filed under the name uncultured bacterium. Its description in RNAcentral is "partial 16S ribosomal RNA". It matches the Rfam family "Bacterial small subunit ribosomal RNA", at positions 28 to 523 of the family's 1533-position model. The record is from RNAcentral.
GACGAACGCUGGCGGCGUGCUUAACACAUGCAAGUCGAACGGUAAGGCCCUUCGGGGUACACGAGUGGCGAACGGGUGAGUAACACGUGGGUGAUCUACCCUGCACUUCGGGAUAAGCCUGGGAAACUGGGUCUAAUACCGGAUAGGACCACUGCCUGCAUGGGUGGUGGUGGAAAGCUUUUGCGGUGUGGGAUGGGCCCGCGGCCUAUCAGCUUGUUGGUGGGGUGAUGGCCUACCAAGGUGACGACGGGUAGCCGGCCUGAGAGGGUGACCGGCCACACUGGGACUGAGAUACGGCCCAGACUCCUACGGGAGGCAGCAGUGGGGAAUAUUGCACAAUGGGCGCAAGCCUGAUGCAGCGACGCCGCGUGAGGGAUGACGGCCCUCGGGUUGUAAACCUCUUUCAGCACCGACGAAGCGCAAGUGACGGUAGGUGCAGAAGAAGGACCGGCCAACUACGUGCCAGCCGCCGCAGUAA